GAUGAACGCUGGCGGCGUGCUUAACACAUGCAAGUCGAACGGAAAGGCUCCUGCUUGCAGGGGUACUCGAGUGGCGAACGGGUGAGUAACACGUGGGUGAUCUGCCCUGCACUUCGGGAUAAGCCUGGGAAACUGGGUCUAAUACCGGAUAGGACGAUGGUUUGGAUGCCAUUGUGGAAAGUUUUUCGGUGUGGGAUGAGCUCGCGGCCUAUCAGCUUGUUGGUGGGGUAAUGGCCUACCAAGGCGUCGACGGGUAGCCGGCCUGAGAGGGUGUACGGCCACAUUGGGACUGAGAGACGGCCCAGACUCCUACGGGAGGCAGCAGUGGGGAAUAUUGCACAAUGGGCGCAAGCCUGAUGCAGCGACGCCGCGUGGGGGAUGACGGCCUUCGGGUUGUAAACUCCUUUCGCUAGGGACGAAGCGCAAGUGACGGUACCUGGAGAAGAAGCACUGGCUAACUACGUG
RNAcentral lists this ribosomal RNA (465 nucleotides) under uncultured bacterium. RNAcentral's name for it is "partial 16S ribosomal RNA". It matches the Rfam family "Bacterial small subunit ribosomal RNA", at positions 28 to 507 of the family's 1533-position model. The record is from RNAcentral.